Molecule: ribosomal RNA, 253 nt
Filed under: uncultured bacterium
Lineage: Bacteria
Description: partial 16S ribosomal RNA
Rfam family: Bacterial small subunit ribosomal RNA
Source: RNAcentral
UACGUAGGUGGCAAGCGUUGUCCGGAUUUAUUGGGUUUAAAGGGUGCGUAGGUGGCCCUGUAAGUCAGUGGUGAAAUAUCUCAGCUUAACUGAGAGGGUGCCAUUGAUACUGCAGGGCUUGAGUACAGAUGAGGUAGGCGGAAUUGAUGGUGUAGCGGUGAAAUGCAUAGAUAUCGUCAAGAACACCGAUAGCGAAGGCAGCUUACCAAGCUGUAACUGACACUGAGGCACGAAAGUGUGGGGAUCAAACAGG